UACGUAGGGUGCAAGCGUUGUCCGGAAUUAUUGGGCGUAAAGAGCUCGUAGGCGGCCUGUCGCGUCGGAUGUGAAAAUCCAGGGCUCAACCCUGGACCUGCAUUCGAUACGGGCAGACUAGAGUUCGGUAGGGGAGACUGGAAUUCCUGGUGUAGCGGUGAAAUGCGCAGAUAUCAGGAGGAACACCGGUGGCGAAGGCGGGUCUCUGGGCCGAAACUGACGCUGAGGAGCGAAAGCGUGGGGAGCGAACAGG
This 253-nucleotide ribosomal RNA is filed under the name uncultured bacterium. RNAcentral's name for it is "partial 16S ribosomal RNA". It matches the Rfam family "Bacterial small subunit ribosomal RNA", at positions 524 to 776 of the family's 1533-position model. The record is from RNAcentral.